Molecule: small nucleolar RNA, 81 nt
Organism: Rhinolophus ferrumequinum (greater horseshoe bat)
Lineage: Eukaryota; Metazoa; Chordata; Mammalia; Chiroptera; Rhinolophidae
Gene: SNORD115
Rfam family: Small nucleolar RNA SNORD115
About the family: HBII-52 is a member of the C/D class of snoRNAs, which contain the C (UGAUGA) and D (CUGA) box motifs.
Source: Ensembl
GGAUCAAUAAUGAGAACUUAUGUUGUCUUGAAAAGAGAUGAUGACCUAAAAAUCAUGUUCAAUAAGAUUAUGCUGAGACCC